Micropterus dolomieu (smallmouth bass) is the source of this 2551-nucleotide long non-coding RNA. RefSeq lists it as uncharacterized. The record is from RefSeq and is a predicted model, not a curated record. The transcript is spliced from 2 exons. Lineage: Eukaryota; Metazoa; Chordata; Actinopteri; Centrarchiformes; Centrarchidae.
UGAAAUUAAAUUGACAUAUGUAAGUUUGACAUACUUCUCUCUCCCCAGUUAAUGGAAGCCCUGAAGGAGCAGGAAGAAAUUAACUUGCGUCUGCGUCAGUACAUGGACAAAAUCAUCCUGUCCAUCUUGGACCACAACCCUUCCAUCCUGGAGAUCAAGAACUAGCAGUGACUCAGCUGGAAUGAGAAUUGUUCCCGGUCUCAGGAGAAUGAGGAUCAUUCCAGUUGUUUGAUCUGAACCUGCAACCUGAGUCAGGACUCUGUACAGGAAAGCAGAGAGAACCAGAGGCAGUCCUAGAAACUGGAACAUAUAAAUAGACAUGCAUCGCCCCCUGCUGUUUGUGGUGGGAAAUGAACUUCUCUUUCAGAGAAGAAAAGGAUUCUGUGCUGAACUAAAGGGAGUUUUCUCAACCAGUGAUUUCUCUCUGAGUCUGACUGAAUAUCCUGCACUCUACAUGCUUCAAGGAUCGACAGAGUCGCUCACUGUUGUUCACUGGGCAUAAUGUACCUUGGUAUAAAAACUGGGACAAUGUAAUAAACCUAACAUUUGUUGUACUGUAUCCUGGUAUAACACUCGCUGUAAUAUCCACAGACAGACAGUUUGGUAUGAUGUAGAGAGAAACAGUUGUGAGACAGACAAACAAGUUGGCAGACAGACUGUAAACCUGACUCUCAGAGGCAUGAAGGCGGACCAAUCGAGUGCUGCCGGCCCAUGUUUUGUUCUCUGAGGCAUGCAUGUUGAUGUAUUUGGACUGGCACACUUUAAGAGAAGAUAGAGAAAAGUGGCAAAAGUGGUCAGAGAAAGAAAACAGUGAGAGUCCCUGUAUCUAUAAGGGGGGAUGAAGAUUUUAAGAAAGAAAAAGAAAAGCAUCAAGAGGUAGGGAGUCAGAUGAUGGACCAUGUUUGCUAGCAAAGCAGGGUUUUAGUGAAGUCGGUGAUGGCUAAUUGAAGGUGAAGAUUUUUGCGUUUUAUGUUUAUUCUUGAGAACAUGUCUUCCAGUAACCUUGCAACUGUGUCAAUCAGUCCAAAAGUGAAGCUUUUUCACUGAGAAGUGGCCCUUAGUUGGUUCAGAUGAGUAGUAGAGCAUCACUUUAUUGAGCAGAAGCUGCAACCAAGGAGUGUCUUUAAACUGUAACUUUCAUGGCUGCUAUUUGCUAGCCAUGUUCGAAAAGUUACACCAUUGCUCGCAAUAGACUCAAUGAUGUUGCACAGAAAUGUACGGAUAUGAAUGUACAGGGUGUGUGGUGGAUUUAUGUGGGUGUGACUGGUAGCCAUUGUAACAUGGUUUACUGAAUCGUCUCUCUAUGCUCAGUGAAAUCAACUCAAAUAUUGUAGGUGAGCAUGCACAGGAGACUCACUUUUUGGGACAAAAGACUGGAUUAGCAAUCUCAUUGAAACCUACAGUUUGUAGAUUGUUUUUAAAGCCCUCUGAAACUCUCUAAUACUGUAAAUAACAUGAAUGUACAACUGGAUAUUUCCCUUUCUGUGUGGCCAAAAAAGGCCUUUUGACUUAAAAUCCCUGUAAUUGGUAAAAGAUACAUUGUAAUCCACAUGCACACAGUAUUGAGUACUGUAAUGAAGAGGGGAUUGUUUGGAGAUAGGAAACAAUCUGCUGUAUUAUGUAAUUAUUCUAAACUUGAGUUUUGCUUCCUUGCACAAAAACAAAACAAAACAAAAACACUUUUUUUCCUUUUGCAUGGUUCACCUUUUCUUCUGUCUGUGCCUUUUGAGGACAUUUUUCAAGAUGACGUUGCUAUAGAUUUACGUAGUUUUUUGAAGCUACAUUCUAUGUCUGACAUUUUCUUGACUUGUAAAUGUUGUAAUUAUACAGUGAUGAUUUGUAUUCAUGUGCCACUCACCACUCUUUUUCAGAUUGAUACUAUGAUAACGAUUUUAUACUGUUUUAUCAAGAAAGAACUUGUGAUUGGUUAGGUGUCCUAUUAGAAAAGCAGAAUAGCACAAUGCUUUGUAUGGUACGCAGGACAGGUCAGCAUUUUGGGAACAUUUUGUCAACGUAAUGAUUUUUUAAUGCAUUGAGGGACGUUUUAUUGCAUUUCUCAAUUGUUAGUGUCUAUUGCUUUAAACUGGCUUUUUAUAUGUUGUAAACUGUCUUCCUACCUUAAACUAAAUUGUGAGCAUUGUGAGCAAUAUUAACUUAUUUACAAAUACCUGCUGAUUUGUGUCAUGUUCUGCUUCACAAAUCUUUUCACUCUAGAUCUGCUCGUGCCAUUCUAGAUUUUUUUUAAAUCAGUACAUUAAGCUGUAAAAUUUUGUCUCAAACUCAUUUCUUGUAGCUUUUAAAUUUUACAUUUAUUGAAUUAUUAGGGCUAUCCAAUAUGAUAUAGUCACUUUAAAUAGCAAUAAAAAUGGCUUUGGCAGUGCUGCUGUCUCAUGAAAUUUCUAUUAUUUCAAACUCUGUUUAUUUCUCCUCACUUCCAUUUCCAUGCUAUAAUUUCUUCUUAACAUGAAACCACUUAUUGUAUGCCUACCAUGUACACUGCUGAUGUCAUUAUGUUGUACAUACUUUGCUGUCAAUAAAAAAAAACAUUUAA